GACCUGAAAGCUCAACUGGUUGAGCACUCCAACGGCAUCGCCGAGGUCAGGGUUCGAGUCCCGAUCAGGUCU
RNAcentral lists this transfer RNA (72 nucleotides) under Acropora cervicornis. RNAcentral describes it as "tRNA-OTHER". Lineage: Eukaryota; Metazoa; Cnidaria; Anthozoa; Scleractinia; Acroporidae. The record is from RNAcentral.